CAAAAUCAUCUCUUUGAUCUGAUCGUAGGAGGCAAGCUGCGAUGCCGUCACCAACAUCGCACGAUUCACCGUCAGCGACGAGCCGCGCCACAAGGAGGUCACGCCUUCUUGUUUGGUCAUGCGUGUGAUGGCGUCGACAACGCUGGUAUAGUUACGACGUUGAGAUACGGGAAGGCGUCCGUCAGCUUGCAUUCGCACCAUCGCCACGUCGGCUGGGUUCCCAACGGCAGCGCCGAUCCCUCCGGCGAUUAGCCCGGCGGUGAUUUUCCGCGAGAGAGGCAUGGUUUUGGUCUCUUUAUCAGUCCACUUCUGUUUCAGGAU
This 321-nucleotide long non-coding RNA is filed under the name Gossypium barbadense (sea-island cotton). RNAcentral's name for it is "long non-coding RNA (GBAR_LNC010388)". The record is from RNAcentral. Lineage: Eukaryota; Viridiplantae; Streptophyta; Magnoliopsida; Malvales; Malvaceae.